This 1167-nucleotide ribosomal RNA is filed under the name Bacillus sp. (in: firmicutes). RNAcentral describes it as "bacterial SSU rRNA". It matches the Rfam family "Bacterial small subunit ribosomal RNA", at positions 141 to 1295 of the family's 1533-position model. Lineage: Bacteria; Bacillati; Bacillota; Bacilli; Caryophanales; Bacillaceae. The record is from RNAcentral.
GGAUAACUCCGGGAAACCGGAGCUAAUACCGGAUAGUUCCUUGAACCGCAUGGUUCAAGGAUGAAAGACGGUUUCGGCUGUCACUUACAGAUGGACCCGCGGCGCAUUAGCUAGUUGGUGGGGUAAUGGCUCACCAAGGCGACGAUGCGUAGCCGACCUGAGAGGGUGAUCGGCCACACUGGGACUGAGACACGGCCCAGACUCCUACGGGAGGCAGCAGUAGGGAAUCUUCCGCAAUGGACGAAAGUCUGACGGAGCAACGCCGCGUGAGUGAUGAAGGUUUUCGGAUCGUAAAGCUCUGUUGUUAGGGAAGAACAAGUGCGAGAGUAACUGCUCGCACCUUGACGGUACCUAACCAGAAAGCCACGGCUAACUACGUGCCAGCAGCCGCGGUAAUACGUAGGUGGCAAGCGUUGUCCGGAAUUAUUGGGCGUAAAGGGCUCGCAGGCGGUUUCUUAAGUCUGAUGUGAAAGCCCCCGGCUCAACCGGGGAGGGUCAUUGGAAACUGGGAAACUUGAGUGCAGAAGAGGAGAGUGGAAUUCCACGUGUAGCGGUGAAAUGCGUAGAGAUGUGGAGGAACACCAGUGGCGAAGGCGACUCUCUGGUCUGUAACUGACGCUGAGGAGCGAAAGCGUGGGGAGCGAACAGGAUUAGAUACCCUGGUAGUCCACGCCGUAAACGAUGAGUGCUAAGUGUUAGGGGGUUUCCGCCCCUUAGUGCUGCAGCUAACGCAUUAAGCACUCCGCCUGGGGAGUACGGUCGCAAGACUGAAACUCAAAGGAAUUGACGGGGGCCCGCACAAGCGGUGGAGCAUGUGGUUUAAUUCGAAGCAACGCGAAGAACCUUACCAGGUCUUGACAUCCUCUGACAACCCUAGAGAUAGGGCUUUCCCUUCGGGGACAGAGUGACAGGUGGUGCAUGGUUGUCGUCAGCUCGUGUCGUGAGAUGUUGGGUUAAGUCCCGCAACGAGCGCAACCCUUGAUCUUAGUUGCCAGCAUUUAGUUGGGCACUCUAAGGUGACUGCCGGUGACAAACCGGAGGAAGGUGGGGAUGACGUCAAAUCAUCAUGCCCCUUAUGACCUGGGCUACACACGUGCUACAAUGGACAGAACAAAGGGCUGCGAGACCGCAAGGUUUAGCCAAUCCCAUAAAUCUGUUCUCANUUCG